GGUGCAAAUGAUGGUAACAGCGAUCAAAGUAUGAAAUGCCGUGAUUCCAGUUUUAUAUAUCACUGAUGCACC
Molecule: small nucleolar RNA, 72 nt
Organism: Hypomesus transpacificus
Lineage: Eukaryota; Metazoa; Chordata; Actinopteri; Osmeriformes; Osmeridae
Source: RefSeq, a predicted model, not a curated record